UACGAACUGUGCAAACGUUAUUCGGAUUCACUGGGCUUAAAGGGUGCGUAGGCGGCUUGCCAAGUAGGGUGUGAAAGCCCCCGGCUUAACCGGGGAAUUGCGCCCUAAACUGGCGAGCUGGAGUGAGAUAGGGGUGUGUGGAACUUCCGGUGGAGCGGUGAAAUGUGUUGAUAUCGGAAGGAACGCCGGUGGCGAAAGCGAGCCUCUGGACAGUUACUGACGCUGAUGCACGAAGGCCAGGGGAGCAAACGGG
RNAcentral lists this ribosomal RNA (253 nucleotides) under uncultured bacterium. Its description in RNAcentral is "partial 16S ribosomal RNA". It matches the Rfam family "Bacterial small subunit ribosomal RNA", at positions 524 to 776 of the family's 1533-position model. The record is from RNAcentral.